CAGUUCGGAUUGUAGUCUGCAACCCGACUACAUGAAGCUGGAAUCGCUAGUAAUCGCGGAUCAGAAUGCCGCGGUGAAUACGUUCCCGGGUCUUGUACACACCGCCCGUCACACCAUGGGAGUCGGAAAUGCCCGAAGUCUGUGACCCAACCUUAGGGAGGGAGCAGCCGAAGGCAGGUCGGAUGACUGGGGUGAAGUCGUAACAAGGUAGC
Molecule: ribosomal RNA, 212 nt
Filed under: uncultured bacterium
Lineage: Bacteria
Description: partial 16S ribosomal RNA
Rfam family: Bacterial small subunit ribosomal RNA
Source: RNAcentral